Molecule: unclassified non-coding RNA, 232 nt
Filed under: uncultured fungus
Lineage: Eukaryota; Fungi
Description: sequence contains ITS1
Source: RNAcentral
UUGAUUCAUUUUCGAAACGCCCGCAAGGGGCGCCGAGAUGGCUCAGAUAGUAAAAAACCCGCGAGGGGGUAUACAAUAAGAGUUUUGGUUGGUCCUCCGGCGGGCGCCUUGGUCCGGGGCUGCGACGCACCCGGGGCAGAGAUCCCGCCGAGGCAACAGUUUGGUAACGUUCACAUUGGGUUUGGGAGUUGUAAACUCGGUAAUGAUCCCUCCGCUGGUUCACCAACGGAGA